UCCGGUCAAGAUAAAUUCACUCUAGUGUCUUAUGGCUUUUUAUUCCUAUGUGAUAGUAAUAAAGUCUCAUGUAGGGAUGGAAGCCAUGAAAUACAUUGUGAAAUGUCAUCAACUAAGAUGGGGCCAUCAGUAUAGAAAACAUCCUAGUUG
This is a non-coding RNA of Sarcophilus harrisii (Tasmanian devil), 150 nucleotides long. RefSeq annotates it as microRNA mir-135a. Lineage: Eukaryota; Metazoa; Chordata; Mammalia; Dasyuromorphia; Dasyuridae. The record is from RefSeq and is marked provisional. The transcript has a single exon.